GCAACUCGCCUACACGAAGUUGGAAUUGCUAGUGAUCGUGGAUCAGCAUGCCACGGUGAAUACGUUCCCGGGUCUUGUACACACCGCCCGUCACACCAUGGGAGCUGGUAACACCCGAAGUCAGUAGUCUAACCGCAAGGAGGACGCUGCCGAAGGUGGGAUUAGCGACUGGGGUGAAGUCGUAACAAGGUAUC
This 194-nucleotide ribosomal RNA is filed under the name uncultured bacterium. RNAcentral describes it as "partial 16S ribosomal RNA". It matches the Rfam family "Bacterial small subunit ribosomal RNA", at positions 1307 to 1500 of the family's 1533-position model. The record is from RNAcentral.